AUACGGAGGAUCCGAGCGUUAUCCGGAUUUAUUGGGUUUAAAGGGUGCGCAGGCGGCCAUUUAAGUCAGCGGUUAAAUCGUGGGGCUCAACCCCAUUCUGCCGUUGAUACUGGGUGGCUUGAUUGCGGUCGAGGUUGGCGGAAUUCGUUGUGUAGCGGUGAAAUGCUUAGAUAUCACGAAGAACUCCGAUCGCGAAGGCAGCUCACCGGGCCGGAACUGACACUGAUGCUCGAAAGUGCGGGUAUCAAACAGGAUUAGAUACCCUGGUAGUCCGCACAGUAAACGAUGAAUACUCGCUGUUUGCGAUACACAGUAAGCGGCCAAGCGAAAGCGUUAAGUAUUCCACCUGGGGAGUACGCCGGCAACGGUGAAACUCAAAUGAAUUGACGGGG
This 392-nucleotide ribosomal RNA is filed under the name uncultured bacterium. RNAcentral describes it as "partial 16S ribosomal RNA". It matches the Rfam family "Bacterial small subunit ribosomal RNA", at positions 523 to 918 of the family's 1533-position model. The record is from RNAcentral.